Molecule: long non-coding RNA, 2816 nt
Organism: Astyanax mexicanus (Mexican tetra)
Lineage: Eukaryota; Metazoa; Chordata; Actinopteri; Characiformes; Acestrorhamphidae
Exons: 3
Source: RefSeq, a predicted model, not a curated record
GCUAUGGUAUCCAGGGUGGUUGCAAAGGUGUUGCUAGGUGGUUGCUAGGUGGUUGCUAGGGUGUUGCUAGGUGGUUGCUAAGGUGUUGCUAGGUGGUUGCUAAGGUGUUGCUAUGGUAUCCAGGGUGGUUGCUAAGGUGUUGCUAGGUGGUUGCUAAGGUGUUGCUAUGGUAUCCGGGGUGGUUGCUAAGGUGUUGCUAGGUGGUUGCAAGGUGGUUGCUAAGGUGUUGCUAGGUGGUUGCUAGGGUGUUGCUAGGUGGUUGCUAAGGUUUUGCUAGGUGGUUGCUAAGGUGUUGCUAUGCUAUCCAGGGUGGUUGCUAAGGUGUUGCUAGGUGGUUGCUAAGGUGUUGCUAUGGUAUCCGGGGUGGUUGCUAAGGUGUUGCUAGGUGGUUGCUAGACGGUUGCUAGGCGGUUGCUAAGGUGUUGCUAUGGUGUCUGUGGUGGUUGCUAAGGUGUUGCUAGGUGGUUGCUAAGAUGUUGCUAUGGUAUCUGGGGUGGUUGCUAAGGUGUUGCUAGGUGUAUCUGACUGGUCGCUAGGCAGUUGCUACCAUUUCUAAAGUGGUUGCUAAGCAGUUGCUAACGUUUUCCAGGUGGUUGCUAAGGUGUUGCUAUCUGGUUGCUAGGCAGUUGCUAACGUAUUACACAUGGUUGCUAAGUGGUUGCUAGGCAGUUGCUAAUGUUUUCCAGGUGGUUGCUAAGGUGUAUCUAACUGGUUGCUAGGCAGUAGUAGAUAAAAAGAAAGAGUGUUAAAUGUAGAAGUACAGAAAAAGGGAGAGCCUGAAAUAGAGAAGUAGAGAGAAAAUCAGCGUGAGAAGUAGAGAAAGAACACCCGAGAAUAUGAGAAAAAGAGUGACAAGUAGAGAGAAAUAUUGAGCGAGAGAAAGAGAAUUAGGGAAAAAGAGAGAUCGAGAAAUAAAGAAGUAGAGAAAGAAAGAGGAUGUAGUAGAGAGAUAGAUAGAAAGAGAAAGCAAGACAGAAAAGUAGAGUGAAAGAGAAGUAGAGAGAAGAGCGAGAAAUAAAGAGUAAGAGAGAAAUAGAGAAAUAGAAAAGUAGAAAGAAAGAGACAUAGAAAAGUAGAGAGAGUGAGAAAUAGAGAAGUAGAGAGAGAGUGAGAAAGAGAGAGUGAGAAAUAGAGAAGAAGAGAGCAAAAGAGAGUGAGAAAUAGAGAAGCAGAGAGAGAGUGAGAAAUAGAGAAGUAGAGAGAGAGUGAGAAAGAGAGAGUGAGAAAUAGAGAAGUAGAGAGAGUGAGAAAUAGAGACGUAGAGAGAGAGUGAGAAAGAGAGUGAGAAAUAGAGAAGUAGAGAGAGAGUGAGAAAUAGAGACGUAGAGAGAGAGUGAAAAAGAGAGUGAGAAAUAUAGAAGUAGAGAGAGUGAGAAAUAUAGAAGUAGAGAGAGACAGUGAGAAAUAGAGACGUAGAGAGAGAGUGAGAAAGAGAGAGUGAGAUAGAGAAGUAGAGAGAGAGUGAGAAAUAGAGUGAGAAAUAGACACGUAGAGAGAGUGAGAAAGAGAGUGAGAAAUAGAGAAGUAGAGAGAGAGUGAGAAAUAGAGACGUAGAGAGAGAGUGAAAAAGAGAGUGAGAAAUAUAGAAGUAGAGAGAGUGAGAAAUAUAGAAGUAGAGAGAGAGAGUGAGAAAUAGAGACGUAGAGAGAGAGUGAGAAAGAGAGAGUGAGAUAGAGAAGUAGAGAGAGAGUGAGAAAUAGAGUGAGAAAUAGACGUAGAGAGAGAGUGAGAAAGAGAGUGAGAAAUAGAGACGUAGAGAGAGAGUGAGAAAUAGAGACGUAGAGAGAGAGUGAGAAAGAGAGUGAGAAAUAGAGGAGUAGAGAGCAAAAGAGAGUGAGAAAUAGAGAAGUAGAGAGCAAAAGAGAGAGUGAGAAGUAGAGAAGUAGAGAGCAAAAGAAAGAGUGAGAAAUAUAGAAAUAGAGAGAGAGUGGGAAAGAGAGUGAGAAUUAGAGAAGUAGAGAGCGAAAGAGAGAGUGAGAAAGAGAGAGUGGCUGGGGUGCCGGGGUGUCCAAACUUUUGACUGAUAGCUGCUCCAUACAGCAGCUCCUCCAUACACUCACAGUACUGGAGGAGCAGGGGAGAGAAGGGGUUCCGUGCGCAGAGCUGCUCGUGUGCGAGAUGGAACUCUGGGCCCCCCAUUCAUUUCUAUGGGAAAACUUCGUACGAAAAUUGUACGAAAACCGUACGUCGUAUCGCUUCGCAACCUGCUAUUAAUUUAAAGAUCUCGGUAAGAUCUAUAAGCUCGCCGAAUUUGGUCUUCGUAUCUCAAAAAUUGUGGCGGUUACGGACGUUUAAAAUUUCGCCCCAUUCAUUCCUAUGGGGAAAAAAUGCGUACGUUUACGAAGUUUUUACGAAAACCGUACGAUAAAUCGCUCCAAAAAGCACAAGCACGCUAAGUUGGCAUAGGUCCUACGAUCCGUGAAAGUUUCGUGAUUCUACGUUGAAAGCUCUAGGAGGAGUAGCGUACAGAAAAAAAGGCGUAAGAAUAAUAAUAAUAAUAAUAAUAACUAGAAAAGGAAAGUUCGAUAACGAACUUUAAGUUGGCUUGGAAAAGUACGUUAAAUAGUUAAAUAACGUUGAAUAGUUAAAAUGGUUGCUAAGAUAUUUCUGUCUAAAGCGUGUGAAGAGUGGUUGCUAUGCUGUUGACUUUCGGCUAAAUGUUGAAGUCCAAAAAGUUUUGGCUAACAUGGUGAAAAGCUUAUAAUUAUCUUAUAAAGUAAAGUGUUGCUAAGUGGUUGCUAGGUAGUUGCUAGGCAGUUGCUAAUGUAGUCCACAUCGUUGCUUAGUGCUUGCUAAUUGGUUGCUAGGCAGUUGCG